UACGUAGGGUGCGAGCGUUAAUCGGAAUUACUGGGCGUAAAGCGUGCGUAGGCGGUUUUGUAAGUCAGGUGUGAAAUCCCCGGGCUCAACCUGGGAAUGGCAUUUGGGACUGCAAGGCUGGAGUGCGGCAGAGGAGACUGGAAUUCCUGGUGUAGCAGUGAAAUGCGUAGAUAUCAGGAGGAAUACCGAUGGCGAAGGCAGGUCUCUGGGCUGACACUGACGCUCAGGCACGAAAGCGUGGGGAGCAAACAGG
Molecule: ribosomal RNA, 253 nt
Filed under: uncultured bacterium
Lineage: Bacteria
Description: partial 16S ribosomal RNA
Rfam family: Bacterial small subunit ribosomal RNA
Source: RNAcentral